AUUCCAGCUCCAAUAGCGUAUAUUAAUGUUGUUGCAGUUAAAAAGCUCGUAGUUGAAUUUCUGGUUAAAAUCUUAGCUGGCUUUGGUCGUUAAUGUUUUAAUCAUCCGUUAGAGAACUAUAACCGUCCUUAACUGGUCAUUAUAGAGAUCUAACAUUUUACUUUGAAAAAAUUAGAGUGUUCAAGGCAGGCAAUCGUCAUGAAUACUAUAGCAUGGAAUAAUGGAAUAGGACUUUGGUUCAUUUUAUUGGUUAUUGAACCUUAGUAAUGAUUAACAGGGACGGUCAGGGGCACUCGUAUUCCGCCGAGAGAGGUGAAAUUCUCAGACCAGCGGAAGACGAACCACUGCGAAAGCAUUUGCCAGGGAUGUUUUCAUCA
This 377-nucleotide ribosomal RNA is filed under the name Prostomatea sp. RNAcentral's name for it is "partial small subunit ribosomal RNA". It matches the Rfam family "Eukaryotic small subunit ribosomal RNA", at positions 582 to 975 of the family's 1831-position model. Lineage: Eukaryota; Ciliophora; Prostomatea. The record is from RNAcentral.